Molecule: long non-coding RNA, 2218 nt
Organism: Pongo pygmaeus (Bornean orangutan)
Lineage: Eukaryota; Metazoa; Chordata; Mammalia; Primates; Hominidae
Exons: 4
Source: RefSeq, a predicted model, not a curated record
ACAGGUAAGAAGUAAAAAAAUAAAAUUAAGAAAAAACUGAAAAAAAUUUUUAAUUUUUAAAAUUUAAGGAGAAUUGCGGCAUGGAUCCUUCAAUUUCCUACAUCCAGAUUCUGCUGUCCACAAGGUUCAGCUUUGGGAUUCUUCUAUGUGCCUUUUAAAUCCUUUCUUAAAAUUACAGAGUCUUUUCUACCAAGUUUUAAAUCUAACGCUCUAUCAAUAAUGUAAUCUUUUAUAUGCAGUAACAUUAAACUCAGAUGGAUUAGUAGUUUAGUUUAGACGCCUUUGGGUCUGGAAGCAUACGAAUGGAUAAAACAAUUUCUUCAAGUCUCUGACAGCUUCAUAACUCUAUUUUAUCUACAUAGCUUCUUCUCAACUUCCUCUGCCUAUUCCAAGAUAUUUUCCAGGUAGGUCUGAAACGCUUUGAGUCCCGUAAAGAAAUAUUUAUGUAUCAAAUAACAAAAGAGCUCUUCCCCUACCCCUUCAGCUCCCAUGUUUUACCAUUAUAUCCAGUAAACAAAACAGAUUGACUCAAUCUUAAACAAUUCCUCCAUCACAGGAAGCCCACCGCAACCACAGCUGCAGAAAGUAUCCCUUAAACCAUCCCCAACUACCUACAGCAACACAAAGUUAAACCAAUUUCUACUGACAAAAGGCUAUGUGUGCAUGCAUUCUGAUCAGCCCCAGGAUUUAUUGUGUGAAACUCAGGCGAUAAAAAGUCACCUCCUCAAGCUACAAAACUUUUUUUUUCAUCCCAAAUAUUCUCAAUGAAAGUUCUCUUGUCAACCAGGAGAGAGUCAAAAACAACCACAAACACUAGCAGAAUGAUCCGCUCCAGGACCACAUCCCAGCUGGCUUUGCUCUGUUGUCGGUGGCUCAGAAGCAGUUUCUCACUUUCCUUUCACCCUUCUCCCCUUACUCCCCAACAUUCUCACUCGAGAAUACAUCACAUCCUCAGACCGCUGGCAAAAAAAAAAAAAAAAAAAAGGGGGGGGAGGGGAAGAGACUGCAAUUAUCAAGGAAGGGGAAGCUAUUUCAGAACCACGGUUUCCACUGCAAACGGCAAUAAAAAAAAAAAGGCAGUCUGUGUCAUCAGGUUAUGAGGGACGACGUCGUGCACUUGAAGCUCUCGGGGCAGGAUGAGACGAUGGAGCAGAAAAGACAAGGUCUGACUCUGUGCAGUGGAUUGCAGUGGCUCAAUCAUAGCUCACUCCAGCCUCAGACUCCUGGGCUGAAGUGAUCCUCCCACCUCAAACUCCUGAAUAGCUGGGACUACAGGCAACAAGCUCUGCCAAUUUUUUCUUCGAGAGUUUUGUUCCAAGCUGGGAGCCGUGGCUCAUGCCUGUCAUCCCAGCACUUUGGGAGGCCAAGCCGGGCAUAGUGGCAAAUGCCUGUGGUUCCAGUUACUUGGGAAGCUGAAGUGGGAGGAUCGCUUGAGCCCAGGAGGUCAAGGCUACAGCGAGCUGUGAUGGUGCCAUUGCAUUCCAGCACUCCAGCCCGGGCAUCGGAGUUAGACCUUGUCGUAAAAAAUAAAUAAAUGAAUAAAUAUAAAUAAAAAAUAAAAAGCGUUUACAGUAGCAUUCCCUUCAUUCUGCCCACCACCCCCACCUCACUGGCACAAGCAUCCCAGCAAAGAGCACAGCACUCUUCAGGACUACGGCGCUCAUUUCCUCAGCUGCUGGGCGCAUUACUUGUCAACACCUAUCAGCUAAAUCCCUUUCCAGGAAUUGCCCUCAGCUGAAGAAAGCUGCAUCUCACCAGGUCCGUCUGCACUGACUGGCAGAUGCAGGGCUCAGGGUGGGGCUGCUCUGAAGGGCUCUCCUGGCUCCAGAGCUCCCUUAGGAUCCGGAAGCUGAGGCAUUUGCUGUGACUACAUUUAGUUCAACUUUUUCUGCUCAAUCCUACUCCUUUCCUGCAUGAUGUUGAUUCCAACGGCAAUUAAAUCCCAUGAGUGUGGCCGGACACCAUGGCUCAGACCUGUAAUCCCAGUACUUUAGGAGCUGAGGCAAGUGGAUCGCGUGAGCCCAAGAGUUCAAGACCAGCCUGACCAACAUGGUAAAAUCGUAUCUUUACAAAAAAUAAAAAAAUGUGCUGGACAUGGCGGUGAGCAGCUGUCGUCUCAGCUACUCAGGAGGCUGAAGCUGGAGGAUUGCUUGAUCCCAGGAGGUAGAAGCUGCAGUGAGCCGUUUGUACCACUGCACUCCAGGCUGGGUGACAGAGC